GACGAACGCUGGCGGCGUGCUUAACACAUGCAAGUCGAACGGAAAGGCCCUGCUUUUGUGGGGUGCUCGAGUGGCGAACGGGUGAGUAACACGUGAGUAACCUGCCCUUGACUUUGGGAUAACUUCAGGUAACUGGGGCUAAUACCGGAUAGGAGCUCCUGCAGCAUGGUGGGGGGUGGAAAGUUUCGGCGGUUGGGGAUGGACGCGCGGCUUAUCAGCUUGUUGGUGGGGUAGUGGCUUACCAAGGCUUUGACGGGUAGGUGGCCUGAGAGGGUGACCGGCCACAUUGGGACUGAGAUACGGCCCAGACUCCUACGGGAGGCAGCAGUGGGGAAUAUUGCACAAUGGGCGGAAGCCUGAUGCAGCAACGCCGCGGGCGGGAUGACGGCCUUCGGGUUGUAAACCGCUUUCGCCUGUGACGAAGCGUGAGUGACGGUAAUGGGUAAAGAAGCACCGGCUAACUACGUG
RNAcentral lists this ribosomal RNA (468 nucleotides) under uncultured bacterium. RNAcentral's name for it is "partial 16S ribosomal RNA". It matches the Rfam family "Bacterial small subunit ribosomal RNA", at positions 28 to 507 of the family's 1533-position model. The record is from RNAcentral.